RNAcentral lists this long non-coding RNA (486 nucleotides) under Equus caballus (horse). RNAcentral's name for it is "lncRNA (ENSECAG00000058235.1)". The record is from RNAcentral. Lineage: Eukaryota; Metazoa; Chordata; Mammalia; Perissodactyla; Equidae.
UACCCCAUGCACUGGCAAGGAGCUCCGCUGGGGAAGCCAGAAGCUUAAUCAAGUCCCGAAGUAAAUGGAACCAUGGGCAGUCUACCAGAUUAGAAUUUCCUCCGUUAUUUCCUUCUACAAAGAACUUUUGUAACCAUUAGAGAAACAAAAGCACGUUUACAUCCAUCAAUUUCCAUUACUCAAACUUCCCUGCAUUGUAUCUAUUGACAAAGUAUUCACAGAUUAAAUACGAUGCGGGCAAAUAUCAAGAAUCCCUUCUUCAAAAAGCAAUUUACUGGGAAGUCCAAUACAGAAAAUAUCGAAGUGGAGUUGCUCUGAUUGCAAUAAGAUUGAGUAUAGCAGAGUCAGGCUUACUCAGCAACUUCUCCUCCCAUAGGAGUCCUUUAAAACACAGAGAGGAGGGGCUGGCUGGGUGAUAUAGUGAUUGAGUUUGCGUGCUCCACUUCAGUGGCCCAGGGUUUGCAGGUUUGGAUCCUGGGUGCAGAC